This 335-nucleotide unclassified non-coding RNA is filed under the name soil metagenome. RNAcentral's name for it is "partial contains 5.8S ribosomal RNA, internal transcribed spacer 2, and large subunit ribosomal RNA". The stretch from base 1 to 120 matches the Rfam family "5.8S ribosomal RNA", at positions 35 to 154 of the family's 154-position model. The record is from RNAcentral.
GAUGAAGAACGCAGCGAAAUGCGAUAAGUAGUGUGAAUUGCAGAAUUCAGUGAAUCAUCGAAUCUUUGAACGCACAUUGCGCCCCUUGGUAUUCCAUGGGGCAUGCCUGUUCGAGCGUCAUUUGUACCUUCAAGCUUUGCUUGGUGUUGGGUGUUUGUCUCGCCUUUGCGUGUAGACUCGCCUUAAAAUAAUUGGCAGCCGGCGUAUUGAUUUCGGAGCGCAGUACAUCUCGCGCUUUGCACUCAUAACGACAGCGUCCAAAAGUACAUUUUCACUCUUGACCUCGGAUCAGGUAGGGAUACCCGCUGAACUUAAGCAUAUCAAUAAGCGGAGGA